Molecule: long non-coding RNA, 859 nt
Organism: Sciurus carolinensis (gray squirrel)
Lineage: Eukaryota; Metazoa; Chordata; Mammalia; Rodentia; Sciuridae
Exons: 3
Source: RefSeq, a predicted model, not a curated record
AAGGAUGCUGUUAGGCCAGUUGCCUACUGACCUUCCAGAGACUCUAAAAUCAACUUUCUCUACACCUUCUGAAUUGUUUGCGUUUGUUUUCAGCUUGUCGGAGCCUCCUGCCCAGCCCACCCUUCUCCCCCCUCCUCCCUGCCCCCUCCCCUCCCUCCGGCCUCUCGGGCUCCCCCCGCACCCCGCCCUCGUCUUUGUUGUCUCCUACCUGCUGGCCAGGCUCUGCCUGCAGUGCUGCCUGAAGGGCAUCAGGUGGUAGUUCAUGGCGUCCAGCAGCAGCUUCUGGCAGACGGGGUCGGUGCGCAUGAAAUCCACUGACUGGACCCGCUCCACCAGCUCCGGGGCCGGGAUGAGUGCGAAGCGGAGGCGCUUCAUGAGGUCGGGCGCGUACUGCAUGCGGGUCUCGCGGUCGUGCUCCAGCCACAGCACGGACAUCUGGAAGAGCGCCAGCUCCGACUCCACGGGGGGCGGCAGCGAGUCCAGCAGGGCGCGCAUCUCCUCGAAGUUAAGCAGCAGCACAUCUUCCACCAGUUCUGCACCGAGAUCUGGUCGUUGAGGAACUGCACGCAGAGCUUGGUGACCUGGGGGAUGUGCAAGAUCUUGCUGACCGACAGCACCUCCUCCACCGUGUCCAGGGAGAGGGUCACGUUGGCCGUAUAGAGGUACUCGAGCACUAGACGCAGCCCGAUGGACGAGCAGCCCUGCAACACCAGCAGGUUGAGGCCGUGCAGCAGGUUGUCGCUGUGGCUGGGGUCGAAGGUAGAGGUCCUGUCCCCGGAUCUGGACAUGGCGAGCUGACUCGGCACACCUGGCUUUAAACCCUCCUCCAACCUGGCAGACAGGGGUGGGGGAUGGGAGG